This 292-nucleotide ribosomal RNA is filed under the name uncultured bacterium. RNAcentral's name for it is "partial 16S ribosomal RNA". It matches the Rfam family "Bacterial small subunit ribosomal RNA", at positions 505 to 796 of the family's 1533-position model. The record is from RNAcentral.
GUUUCAGCCGCCGCGGUAAUACGGAGGGUGCGAGCGUUAAUCGGAAUUACUGGGCGUAAAGCGUACGUAGGCGGUUUGUUAAGUCGGAUGUGAAAUCCCCGGGCUCAACCUGGGUGCUGCAUUCGAUACUGGCAGACUUGAAUACGGUAGAGGGGGGUGGAAUUCCAGGUGUAGCGGUGAAAUGCGUAGAGAUCUGGAGGAACACCAGUGGCGAAGGCGGCCCCCUGGACCGAUAUUGACGCUGAGGUACGAAAGCGUGGGGAGCAAACAGGAUUAGAUACCCUAGUAGUCC